UGCCAGCCGCCGCGGUAAUACUGAAGGUGCAAGCGUUAUCCGGAAUCAUUGGGCGUAAAGGGUCUGUAGGUUGUUGGUUAAGUCUAUGGUCAAAUUCCGAAGCUCAACUUCGGGCCGGCACUAGAAACUAAUCAACUUGAGUACGUUAGAGGCAGGGGGAAUUCCCAGUGUAGCGGUGAAAUGCGUAGAUAUUGGGAGGAACAUCAAUGGCGAAGGCACCCUGCUAGGCCGAUACUGACACUGAAAGACGAAAGCUAGGGGAGCAAAUGGGAUUAGAUA
Molecule: ribosomal RNA, 279 nt
Filed under: uncultured bacterium
Lineage: Bacteria
Description: partial 16S ribosomal RNA
Rfam family: Bacterial small subunit ribosomal RNA
Source: RNAcentral